Molecule: ribosomal RNA, 1000 nt
Filed under: Bacillus thuringiensis
Lineage: Bacteria; Bacillati; Bacillota; Bacilli; Caryophanales; Bacillaceae
Description: bacterial SSU rRNA
Rfam family: Bacterial small subunit ribosomal RNA
Source: RNAcentral
GAAACACCGCGUAAUAUGUCGUCCACCAGCCGCGCUAUAUGUAGGUGGCGAGAGUGAUCUGAGAUAUAGGGCGUAUAGAGCGCGCAGCACGGUGUCUCAUGUGUGAUGAUGAAAGCGCACGCGUCUACCAGCCGUAGAGUGUCAGUAGAAAUGUGGGACACGUGUGCAGCAGAGAAGAAGAGUAGAAUCACAUGUAGUCGCUGAAAUGUGUAGUAGAUAUGGAGGAGGCACCAGAGUCGAGGGGGCGUCUUUGGUCUGUAUAUGACACUGUGACGCGAGAGAGUGUGGAGAACACACGAUUUGAUAUCCUGGUAGUCCACACGCUAAAAGAUGAGAGUUAAAAGUGAGAGAGUGUCUCCCCCUUAGUGUGCAAAUAAAACGCUUUGCACUCUCCCCGGGGAGAGUGGUCGCAAGAGUGAAACUCUCAAGAAAAUUGAGGGGGGCGCACACGAGCGGGAGCACGUGUGUUAUUUUGAAGCAACGCGAAGAACCCCUUCACGUCUUGACACCUUCUGACACAUCUAGAGAUAGAGGGCUUCCCCUCGGGGGGCAGAGUGACAGGUGGUGCAUGGUUGUCGUCAGCUCGUGUCGUGAGAUGUUGGGUUAAGUCCCGCAACGAGCGCAACCCUUGAUCUUAGUUGCCAUCAUUUAGUUGGGCACUCUAAGGUGACUGCCGGUGACAAACCGGAGGAAGGUGGGGAUGACGUCAAAUCAUCAUGCCCCUUAUGACCUGGGCUACACACGUGCUACAAUGGAUGGUACAAAAGGGCUGCAAAGACCGCGAGGUCAAGCCAAUCCCAUAAAACCAUUCUCAGUUCGGAUUGUAGGCUGCAACUCGCCUACAUGAAGCUGGAAUCGCUAGUAAUCGCGGAUCAGCAUGCCGCGGUGAAUACGUUCCCGGGCCUUGUACACACCGCCCGUCACACCACGAGAGUUUGUAACACCCGAAGUCGGUGGGAGUAAACCGUAUAGGAGCCAGCCGCCUAAGGUUGAUUUGGGC